This 495-nucleotide ribosomal RNA is filed under the name uncultured Sphingobacteriales bacterium. Its description in RNAcentral is "bacterial SSU rRNA". It matches the Rfam family "Bacterial small subunit ribosomal RNA", at positions 904 to 1382 of the family's 1533-position model. The record is from RNAcentral. Lineage: Bacteria; Pseudomonadati; Bacteroidota; Sphingobacteriia; Sphingobacteriales.
UUGCCAGCCCGCUCAGAAACUUAAUGAAUUGACGGGGCCGCACAAGCGGUGGAGCAUGUGGUUUAAUUCGAUGAUACGCGAGGAACCUUACCUGGGCUCAAAUGUAUGUUGACGUAUUCUGAAAGGGAUACUUCUUCGGACAAUAUACAAGGUGCUGCAUGGUUGUCGUCAGCUCGUGCCGUGAGGUGUCGGGUUAAGUCCCAUAACGAGCGCAACCCCUAUCAUUAGUUGCCAUCAGGUCAAGCUGGGGACUCUAAUGAAACUGCCUACGCAAGUAGUGAGGAAGGUGGGGAUGACGUCAAAUCAGCACGGCCCUUACGUCCAGGGCUACACACGUGCUACAAUGGCCGGUACAAAGGGCAGCUACCUGGUGACAGGAUGCUAAUCUCAAAAGCCGGUCUCAGUUCGGAUCGGAGUCUGCAACCCGACUCCGUGAAGUUGGAAUCGCUAGUAAUCGUGGAUCAGCAUGCCACGGUGAAUACGUUCCCGGGCCUU